CUACGGGCGGCUGCAGUGGGGAAUAUUGCACAAUGGGCGCAAGCCUGAUGCAGCCAUGCCGCGUGUGUGAAGAAGGCCUUCGGGUUGUAAAGCACUUUCAGCGGGGAGGAAGGCGUUAAGGUUAAUAACCUUGUCGAUUGACGUUACCCGCAGAAGAAGCACCGGCUAACUCCGUGCCAGCAGCCGCGGUAAUACGGAGGGUGCAAGCGUUAAUCGGAAUUACUGGGCGUAAAGCGCACGCAGGCGGGCUGUCAAGUCGGAUGUGAAAUCCCCGGGCUCAACCUGGGAACUGCAUUCGAAACUGGCAGGCUAGAGUCUUGUAGAGGGGGGUAGAAUUCCAGGUGUAGCGGUGAAAUGCGUAGAGAUCUGGAGGAAUACCGGUGGCGAAGGCGGCCCCCUGGACAAAGACUGACGCUCAGGUGCGAAAGCGUGGGGAGCAAACAGGAUUAGAUACCCGAGUAGUC
This 464-nucleotide ribosomal RNA is filed under the name uncultured Klebsiella sp. Its description in RNAcentral is "bacterial SSU rRNA". It matches the Rfam family "Bacterial small subunit ribosomal RNA", at positions 339 to 795 of the family's 1533-position model. Lineage: Bacteria; Pseudomonadati; Pseudomonadota; Gammaproteobacteria; Enterobacterales; Enterobacteriaceae. The record is from RNAcentral.